CAUUAAUAAGCAGUUUAGUGGAUGUUCUUGGCCAAGCUCCCCACAGCUGUGACGACGGUGACUGAUCUGCUUCGCAUUGGAAGAAAGCUCAGAUUAUAGACUUCAAGCCCUCGAAACAAACUUCCUGUGGUUUCAGAGUGAAACUCAGGAAGGCAUUCAGCAGGAGUGGAUCAGCUGCAGAGUGAAAGCAAGAACCUGUUUUUCACUCUACACAGUUCAUCAGCUGACUUCGCCUCCACUCUUCCUGUCAUCGGUAUUGCGGCACGCUAAAAUCAUCCUGAUGAAAUACGAUAGUGUGAGGCCAGAGUUGUGUGGCACGAGACAGGGGGGAUUAUUAAUUUCCUCUCAUCAGAUCUAAAAAUAGCAGCAAAAUCUCUGCUCAUCUGCUGCCUGAUGGGAAACAGAUUUAGAUUUAUUUGUUUUGCUCCUGAGCUGCAGACACUCAACCAUACACAGGAUCAAGGGAAUUAUAUUUCCAUGUCCCGUAUUAUGUUCCAGUAAAAGUGAUGCGUUGCUAUUGAGACAAAGGCAAUUUAACUGUCUGAUAUAUUUUUUA
Gambusia affinis (western mosquitofish) is the source of this 556-nucleotide long non-coding RNA. RefSeq lists it as uncharacterized. NCBI's taxonomy places the organism in Eukaryota, Metazoa, Chordata, Actinopteri, Cyprinodontiformes, Poeciliidae. The transcript is spliced from 3 exons. The record is from RefSeq and is a predicted model, not a curated record.